RNAcentral lists this ribosomal RNA (497 nucleotides) under uncultured bacterium. RNAcentral's name for it is "partial 16S ribosomal RNA". It matches the Rfam family "Bacterial small subunit ribosomal RNA", at positions 28 to 507 of the family's 1533-position model. The record is from RNAcentral.
GAUGAACGCUGGCGGCGUGCCUAAUACAUGCAAGUCGAGCGAACAGAUAAGGCGCUUGCUCCUUUGACGUUAGCGGCGGACGGGUGAGUAACACGUGGGUAACCUACCUAUAAGACUGGGAUAACUUCGGGAAACCGGAGCUAAUACCGGAUAAUAUUUCGAACCGCAUGGUUCGAUAGUGAAAGAUGGUUUUGCUAUCACUUAUAGAUGGACCCGCGCCGUAUUAGCUAGUUGGUAAGGUAACGGCUUACCAAGGCGACGAUACGUAGCCGACCUGAGAGAGUGAUAGGCCACACUGGAGCGGAGACACGGUCAAGAGUCCUACGGGAGGCAGCAGUAGGGAAUCUGCCGCAAUGGGCGAAAGCCUGACGGAGAAACGCCGCGUGAGUGAUGAAGGUCUUCGGAUCGUAAAACUCUGUUAUUAGGGAAGAACAUACGUGUAAGUAAAUGUGCACGGCGUGACGGUACCUAAUCAGAAAGCCACGGCUAACUACGUG